CUCGUAGGUGGCCAACUAAGUCAGACGUGAAAUCCCUCGGCUUAACCGGGGAACUGCGUCUGAUACUGGAUGGCUCUGAGUUUGGGAGAGGGAUGCGGAAUUCCAGGUGUAGCGGUGAAAUGCGUAGAUAUCUGGAGGAACACCGGUGGCGAAGGCGGCAUCCUGGACCAACACUGACGCUGAGGAGCGAAAGCCAGGGAGCAAACG
This 207-nucleotide ribosomal RNA is filed under the name uncultured bacterium. Its description in RNAcentral is "partial 16S ribosomal RNA". It matches the Rfam family "Bacterial small subunit ribosomal RNA", at positions 568 to 774 of the family's 1533-position model. The record is from RNAcentral.